UAAAAAAAAAAAAAAAAGCAAGAUUGAGUAGUCCUGCCACGACAAAGUAGACAAGAGACUAGCGUAUUAAAAGGCCAACUUUAUGUACAUAAUACUUUUUUCUUAAUGAAUCCAAGUCAUUUUAGGUCUUCAUUUUAGAUACUGAAUAGGCCUCAAGUUCUGCUGCGACAUCUUGGUGGUAGGUCCAACUUAGGCUGUUGUUAGUGGCAUUAUGAUGUUUUGAAUAUUUUCCUGGGACACUUUAGUACUACCACCCGAGCAUCAACACGCAAUUAAUGCCACAGUUAACUUGAGUAUUGUUGAUAAUCACCAUUAUUAUGACCUCCGUGCACUACUCACCUCGAGAUCGGUACUUCCGGCAGGACAAGAAACGGACCGCGGCAGAAAGCUCAAACCAUCUCUAACUUGUUUCUUCAACAUUACAAUGAGUGGUAUGCCAGGUCUCAGUCCAACAAAAAACAGAAUAAAAUCAUCUGCAGCAACUGAAAGACACCAUGGACUAUUAUACCAAGAUUUUAGAUGUCAGGCAGUUCUGAAGGCAAAAUAAGGUCCAACUUGGUACUACAAAGUUGCAGGUGAGCCACUGUAAAUAAUGUUACUGUCCCUUAGUUAGAGGCACUACAAAUAACUGUUCCCUUCUGUUUUCAAAAAGUGAUUAAUGAUGUUUUAAAUAUUGGUAUAAGUUCUUUAGAACUGUGGCAUUUUUAUUUUACCAAAGGCAACAAUACCGUGAGAAUUACGUCCCUACACAUAAAUUUGUACACUUUGUGUUAUAUCAGCUCUAGUUUCCAAGGAGAUCUUUGAUGUAAAAUGCAUCAGCUUUUUAUUUAUUCUAUUGUAGGCAUGCAGGAACAAAAUGUGAAAAUAGAAAAGAGGCUGGAUUGAGCUGCCAUCUUUUUGGUUUCAUAGUUGACAACCUGUGUAAAUGACUUUGUUGGUGUUUAUUCGUUUCCUCAUUUGGCCAAGAGUUAUUUGUUGCCUUUGCGGCCGAUGCUUUUGUUUUGACGGGGCUUUGAGAGGCAGGGUUGCUAGGUGACUGACACGGGAGCUGCAGACUAACUGACAAUUAACUGUUUUGGACAUAGGGCAGAGAGUAAGAGAGUGUACUAGUCACAGUUAAAGGGAGAUAACUAAGGAAUAGUCCAACUAAGGUCUAAACAAUUAAUUAGUUAGCGCUUGGUUGAUGAGGGAACAAACUCUUACGGUGUGUUCAUGUACAAAGGCUGUUGAAUAAAGAAACGUGAACCAUCA
This is a long non-coding RNA of Poecilia latipinna (sailfin molly), 1251 nucleotides long. RefSeq lists it as uncharacterized. The transcript is spliced from 2 exons. NCBI's taxonomy places the organism in Eukaryota, Metazoa, Chordata, Actinopteri, Cyprinodontiformes, Poeciliidae. The record is from RefSeq and is a predicted model, not a curated record.